This 484-nucleotide ribosomal RNA is filed under the name uncultured bacterium. RNAcentral's name for it is "partial 16S ribosomal RNA". It matches the Rfam family "Bacterial small subunit ribosomal RNA", at positions 28 to 523 of the family's 1533-position model. The record is from RNAcentral.
GACGAACGCUGGCGGCGUGCUUAACACAUGCAAGUCGAACGAUGAACCCGGAGCUUGCUCCGGUGGAUUAGUGGCGAACGGGUGAGUAACACGUGGGUAACCUGCCCUUGACUCUGGGAUAACUGCGGGAAACUGUAGCUAAUACCGGAUACGACCCUCGGCGGCAUCGCCAGGGGGUGGAAAGAAUUUCGGUCAAGGAUGGACUCGCGGCCUAUCAGCUAGUUGGUGAGGUAACGGCUCACCAAGGCGACGACGCGUAGCCGGCCUGAGAGGGCGACCGGGCACACUGGGACGGCGACACGGACCAGACCACGACGGGAGGCAGCAGUUGGGAAUAGUGCACGAUGGGCGCAAGCCGGAUGCAGCAACGCCGCGUGAGGGAUGACGGCCUUCGGGUUGUAAUCCUCUGUUAGUAGGGAAGAAGCGAAAGUGACGGUACCUGCAGAAAAAGCACCGGCUAACUACGUGCCAGCCGCCGCCGUAA